UCACACCUCUUCCUCUUCAUCUUUCUCUUCCUCUUCCCACCACAUAUCUUCCUCUUUCCACCAAGCUUUCUCUCUCCGGUGGUGAUUAGCUCUAAGAGAAUAUAGCCUCGGUGGUGAUAUCCGGAAUAUAGCUCCAUCUGCCUCAAUCUCUGUCUCCUCUCUUCCUACACAACUCCAAGGAAAAGCAGCAGCAGCAGCAGCAGAUGCCCAGCUUUUUGGCCUCCUCUCCAAUCUCCUCCAGCAGUUCUCCAGUCCUCGAUUUUUGCAUCUCGAACUUUGCUCGCAAGGUAACCUUCAUCAUCUUCUGAAUUUUUUGGAUCUAUCUUUGCGCCUUCUUCCAAGGUAUUCAUUCCAUUUUCCCACCACUUCGAAUUGUGUUGAUUGUGGACAUUUGACGAGUUUUUUGCAUUUUCUUUGAAUUAUUUGAUUCAAUUUUAGUUUCUUUGCAUUUUCUCUGAAUUUUUUUAAUGGGCAUUAGUUUUUUUGUUUCAAUGGGUUCAAGGUUCUAAGACAAAUUAGAUCUAAUUUGAUAUAAAUGGUGUUUUUUUUUAAUAUAGAAACUGGGCAAACCCUUUUUCCAUUGGAUUGAUAAUAGUUUAUUACUUGAGUCUUUCCGCUCACAAUUAAUUGGAAUAAGUUUUUUUUUUUUUUUUGUGUCUUUUUAUAAAAAAGACAAACUAAUUUCAUGACUUAGAAAUUUUACCAAGUUUUUCUACUAAACUACCAACUAAAUUAAGCCUUAGAAAACAUAGGCUUGCACCCUCUUUACAAUUGGUUUUGACAGACUGUCUGUGAGUCCUUCAUAUUGGUUUGAAAUUUUAGGAAAUUACGAGACAUGAGCAUCUUGAAGGAGUUGGAAAAAUUUGUUCUUUACCUGCUCACAAAACUUUUGCUUUAUUGUUGAAUAUAAACUGUGUUCACACCAAUUGUUUUCAGUUCUCCUUGCAAUAUCUGUUCCAUAAAUGAAAAAUAAUACAUGGAAGUGAAAGGUAUGCAUUCCUUUUAAACACUAAAUAGUACAGAUUCAGUCAGUUUGUUUGUUUGUUUUUUUUUUUUUGCCAGCAAAUAACAACCACUUUCUAUAAUAGGAAUGCACUUACAAAUACUUGGUAGCAUGGGAUUUGUUACAUUUGAGAGGGACACAAAUGCCUUGAGAGCCAGAAAAGUAUUGAUACCUAGAAUAAUAAACUCUAAUUCCCUCUCAAAACAAGAAUGAAAUCAGAAUCCAGAAAAGCCCAUAGUGUUGCAAUAAAAAAUAAAGAAUAAAAAGACAUCCAAAGGGAUUGCCCCCAUUUUGGUCUAAUAAUAACCCAAACCCCUGCACCAUCAAUGGGGGCAAUUUUGGCCACAUUAUUCUCCAAAAUUGAUGGGACUAAACUGAUAUAAUAAAUGGCUUUGGAUUUUUGGAAGAAAAUAAAUGGGGUUUUUUAAGUUGUAUUGAUUUGUAAAUGAUGGGAGAAUUAAGUUAGUUAGAGUUUGUUGUUGAAUUACCAAGCGAAGGGUUUGCUUUUUGAAUUUUAUUUUAUUAAAUUUUUUCUUAAGAACACGUCUUUCUUAAAUUCCCUCUAACCUUAUGUGAUCAAUUAAAGGAAGUUCCAAAAAGAAAGAUUCGAAAAAAAAUAAAAUCCAAAGAAAAUAUUGAUUGAUUUUUAUAAAUUAAUAUUUUUAUCAAUCAUUAAUUUGUAUUUGUGUUGAUAAUGUGUUGUGUUUGUUCGUACUGUUUGCAUUGGGUAACCAAUUAUUAUUUUGCAACAAUGUAUGUGUUUGGUUUGAAUUGGGUAGUCUCU
Non-coding RNA from Camellia sinensis, 1787 nucleotides. The record is from RefSeq and is a predicted model, not a curated record. Lineage: Eukaryota; Viridiplantae; Streptophyta; Magnoliopsida; Ericales; Theaceae.